This is a non-coding RNA of Microcebus murinus (gray mouse lemur), 776 nucleotides long. Lineage: Eukaryota; Metazoa; Chordata; Mammalia; Primates; Cheirogaleidae. The record is from RefSeq and is a predicted model, not a curated record.
CCCAGGUUUUUAUAUUAUUAUUGUGAGCUGAGCACUGAGCAGGAACUAGUAGUUCUCUGGUGUUGUGUUCUCUUGGCUUAUAGCAUUUUCAGGCCCAGACAGAAUGCGCUAGAUAUCGUAACCCCUCAGCAAUAGUUUCAGCAGCAACUUUAAAUUGAACUUCUACCAAAUGGCUACUGGCUCGACUUGACUUACACUUCAUUUACUUCAUGUGACACCUGUUUCUAGGCACAAGUUCGAGCUGGGCUAAAAGGGAUUAAAGAGACCAUACCUACCCCAACAGAUCCACCUAUCCCGGGCAGAGAAGGAACCGACGGAGUGAUUUUGCCUGAUGUCAUCAGGCCAGAGAGCCAGACCCUCCAACUGAUGGUACUGGAAGAAAACAGCCAGUAUGCAGCGUCCACCAGUGUCCACCAUGGUCCACCAGCAGUGUCCACCAUUGGGGGCGUCUUGACCCUGAGACAGUUGAUUCUCUAUCGUGGAAUGGCUCUGGCUCUUGCUGUUGUGGUCCUUUUAGCGGGAAUUUUCAUAAGAGUUUUCAGUGACCGUGGCUAAAAUGGAAGACUCAUUGCUACUCUACAAACUAGAAAUGAUAAUUCCAUGCCAUAUAUUAAGUGUCACAGGUGGCCUUGUUAUUUAGACGGUGGUUUUACUCUCAGUGGUACAUGGAAACGGUAUCAGGGAUGUUUCCUUGGUUAUUCUGAGAAACUGCGCUGUCUCGAUGGGCAUGAAGAAGAGAGCUAUAAUUUUAAGUAAACUUUUCUCUGUUCACUUUA